UACGGAGGGGGCGAGCGUUAUUCGGAAUUAUUGGGCGUAAAGGGCGCGUAGGCGGCUUGACAAGUCAAAGGUGAAAUCCCUCGGCUCAACUGAGGAACUGCCUUUGAAACUGUCUGGCUUGAGGCCGGGAGGGGGUAGCGGAAUUCCCAGUGUAGCGGUGAAAUGCGUAGAUAUCAGGAGGAACACCAAUUGCGAAGGCAGCUCGCUGGGACGUGACUGACGCUGAGACGCGAAAGCGUGGGGAGCAAACAGG
RNAcentral lists this ribosomal RNA (253 nucleotides) under uncultured bacterium. Its description in RNAcentral is "partial 16S ribosomal RNA". It matches the Rfam family "Bacterial small subunit ribosomal RNA", at positions 524 to 776 of the family's 1533-position model. The record is from RNAcentral.